Molecule: long non-coding RNA, 478 nt
Organism: Spinacia oleracea (spinach)
Lineage: Eukaryota; Viridiplantae; Streptophyta; Magnoliopsida; Caryophyllales; Amaranthaceae
Exons: 3
Source: RefSeq, a predicted model, not a curated record
CCCAGUCGCGCACCACUGCACGGCUGCACUUCCUCUUGUUCUUCUCCUUGCGUCACUUCACGUUGAAAUAAUCAGGAACCAAAUUCCAAUUUGGUUGGAACUUUGGUUUCCUAAUUCAAAGCAGCCCAUUCUAUUUAUUUGAUGGCCCACUAGCCCACUACCUAUUUUAGAAAUCGAACUUCGGAGCUCAGGAAGAACGGUCCAUCGAACAGGAAGUAUAAACUACGGUUGAGGUACGAAGAAGAUCAGGGGAUGCCUUAGAGUGAGGAUGCAACCAUCAAAUUCACGAUCGAUGCUUAAUAAAGAUAAUCAUGUAUCACUAGUAAUAAUGGAUGAACAAAUUAAACUCUAAGUCAAAUUUCAAUUAUUGAGUUGGAUUUUAAUAUUUAUGUUUAAUCAAUGUUAGGAAUAUUUAUUAAAUUUCAUUUAGAUUUCGAUGUAAAUAUUAAAGAAUUAAUCGAAGUGAAGUAUAAUUACU